CGCGAAUGGCUCAUUACAACAGCUAUAAUCUACUUGAUCUUGACAUAUCCUACUUGGAUAACUGUGGUAAUUCUAGAGCUAAUACACGCACUAAAGCCCUGACCUCACGGAAAGGGUGCAUUUAUUAGAACAAAACCAAGCCGCUUGCGGUUUUUUGUUGACUCAGAAUAACUCAGCUGAUCGCAUGGUCUUGUACCGGCGACGUGUCUUUCGAGUAUCUGCCUUAUCAACUUUCGAUGGUAGUGUAUCUGACUACCAUGGUGGUGGCGGGUAACGGAGGAUAAGGGUUCGACUCCGGAAAAGGCGCCUGAGAAAUGGCGACUACGUCUAAGGAUGGCAGCAGGCGCGCAAAUUACCCACUCUCAGAAUGAGGAGGUAGUGACGAGAAAUAACGAGACCGUUCUCUAUGAGGCCGGUCAUCGGAAUGGGUACAAUCUAAACCCUUUAACGAGUAUCUAUGAGAGGGCAAGUCUGGUGCCAGCAGCCGCGGUAAUUCCAGCU
RNAcentral lists this ribosomal RNA (501 nucleotides) under Ditylenchus sp. Sliso201237. RNAcentral describes it as "SSU rRNA". It matches the Rfam family "Eukaryotic small subunit ribosomal RNA", at positions 88 to 590 of the family's 1831-position model. The record is from RNAcentral. Lineage: Eukaryota; Metazoa; Nematoda; Chromadorea; Rhabditida; Anguinidae.